UCUUUUAUUUUUUGAGAUGGAGUUUCGCUCUUGUUGCCCAGGCUGGAGUGCAAUGGUGCAAUCUCAGCUCACCGCAACCUCCGCCUUCCAGGUUCAAGCAAUUCUCCUGCCUCAGCCUCCCGAGUAGCUGGGAUUACAGGCAUGCACCACCACGCCCGGCUAAUUUUGUAUUUUUAGUAGAGACGGGGUUUCUCCAUACGGGGUUUCACCAUGUUGGCCAGACUGGUCUCGAACUCCUGACCUCAGGUGAUCCACCCGCUCCAGCCUCCCAAAGUGCUAGGAUUACAGGUGGGAGGAUCACUUGAGGCUUGAGGCGGAGGUUGCAGUGAGCUGAGAUUGCGCCACUGUACUCCAGCCUGGGCAACAGAGCGAGACCCUGUCUCAAAAAAAAAAACAGAUGCGAUUCAAGAAAAA
RNAcentral lists this long non-coding RNA (414 nucleotides) under Homo sapiens (human). RNAcentral describes it as "HSALNT0005390". The record is from RNAcentral. Lineage: Eukaryota; Metazoa; Chordata; Mammalia; Primates; Hominidae.